This 121-nucleotide ribosomal RNA is filed under the name Ipomoea nil (Japanese morning glory). The record is from RNAcentral. Lineage: Eukaryota; Viridiplantae; Streptophyta; Magnoliopsida; Solanales; Convolvulaceae.
CGAUCGAUCAUACCAGCACUAAUGCAGCGGAUCCCAUCAGAACUCCCGAAGUUAAACGUGCUUGGGCGAGAGUAGUACUAGGGAUGGGUGACCCCCCUGGGAAGUCCUCGUGUUGCAUCCC